UCAAAAACAUGUCCUUUUGUUAAUAAUUUAAGGUCUGACCUGCCCAAUGAGUAUUUAAAUGGCCGCAGUAUUUUGACUGUGCAAAGGUAGCAUAAUCAUUAGUUUUUUAAUUGUAAGCUGGAAUGAAUGGUUUGAUGAGAAAAUAACUGUCUCAAUUUAAUUGUUUUAGAAUUUUAAUUUUAAGUGAAAAAGCUUAAAUUUUUAAGGAAGACGAGAAGACCCUAUAGAGUUUAAUAUUUCUAUAUUUUGAUUGGUUUUAGAUUUAUUUAAAAUUUUGAUGUAGAAUUAUUUUAUUGGGGUGAUAUUAAAAUUUAAAAAACUUUUAAUUUAUUAUAACAUUUUUUUGUGAUUAUUUGAUCCUAAUUUUUAGAUUAUAAGAUAAAAUUACCUUAGGGAUAACAGCGUAAUUUUUUUUAAGAGUUCUUAUCGAAAAAAAAGUUUGCGACCUCGAUGU
RNAcentral lists this ribosomal RNA (454 nucleotides) under Callyntra rossi. Its description in RNAcentral is "partial large subunit ribosomal RNA". It matches the Rfam family "Bacterial large subunit ribosomal RNA", at positions 1807 to 2532 of the family's 2925-position model. The record is from RNAcentral. Lineage: Eukaryota; Metazoa; Arthropoda; Insecta; Coleoptera; Tenebrionidae.